Molecule: long non-coding RNA, 3021 nt
Filed under: Manihot esculenta (cassava)
Lineage: Eukaryota; Viridiplantae; Streptophyta; Magnoliopsida; Malpighiales; Euphorbiaceae
Description: long non-coding RNA (MESC_LNC004983)
Source: RNAcentral
CUCCCAACACCUUUCCAAAGAAGAAUUUAAAGAAAAGAAGGGAAAUCAAAGAGAAAUUUCAAGGGUGAGGGGGAGUGAAUAGUAACUAAGGGUUUGGAAUUUAAAGGUAUGUUAGGGAUUUUUGUUGUAGGGAUAUUUCUUAUCAUUUUAUGUGAAUAUUUAUGAGAAAUAUUGUAUUAAUUUGAUUUAUUGGUUUAUUUUUUUUCAUGAAGAAGCGGAAGGGAAAGGAAAAGAAAAGGAAAAUUAGGGAAGUUUAAGUUUGUGGAAGAUCUUGGGAAGGUUUGUGUUCAACUCUAUUUCAAUAAAUGCAAGAAAUUGUUAUUUAUAUUCUAUUUGAAAUUUUACUACCCUAAUAGAAAGACCAAGUAAAUAAUAAUUUAAUUAUUUUAGUAUAAUCAAAGUUUGAGAAAUAAUAGAUUUAAUAGAUAGAAAAUUUUAAAACUUAUAUGUAAUUUAACCAAAAUUUAAAUUAUGGAUAUAAUGAAAUGACUCUAUUUUCUUUGAGAGAAAAAUAAUUUGGUUAGAUAUAGUGACAAUAAAAAAAUUUAGUAGACUAAAGAAAAAAAAAAGAAGAAGAGAUAUUAGAUUAGAUGAAAAGAAAAAAAGAAAUUAAAAGAAUAAGAAAAAUGAGGCAUAGUGUAAAUAUGAUGUUGAAGAAUAAUAAGAAUAAUAUAAGAUAAAAAGAGGAAUUAAAAAAAAAAACUUUCAUGUUUCUAUGCUUAGAAGAUACAGGUCAGAUCCCUCUCAUAUCCUCCCAGCAGAAUCUGUGGAUGUACAAUCAAACUUGUCAUAUAAAGAAGAACCUGUGAAAAUUCUAGCAAGAGAAAUAAAAGAGUUGAAAAACAAAAGAAUUCCUCUUGUUAAAGUCCUGUGGAGGAAUCACAAAGUAGAAGAAGUAACUUGGGAGAGCGAAGAUAUCAUGAAAGCACAAUAUCCUCAUCUCUUUAAUACAGGCAAAAUUUCGAGGACGAAAUUUUUAUAAGAGGGGUAGAAUUGUAACAUCCUUAAAAAAAUAAAAUAAAUAAAUAAUAAGAAAAAAAAGAAAGAAAAAGAAUUAAAAAGAAAAGAAAAGAAAAAAAAAAGAAGAUAAUAAAUUAAAUUUUAAUGUAAAAGAUAAGUGGCUCAUUUGUAGCCACAAACCAAAUAAAUUUUGUACCAAAAAAAAAAAAGAAAAGAAAAGAAGAAAGAAGAAAAGACUAGAAGAGAAGAGAGAAACUCAUUUUGUUUCCUCCAUUUCCUUCUGCUUCCUCUGCCGUGAAACCCUCUUUUCUCCAUUUGUUUUUCCUACAUCAAAUUUCUUCAAAUCUCCACCUCCAAUCAAUUCCUCAUCUUCUCCCAACACCUUUCCAAAGAAGAAUUUGAAGAAAAGAAGGGAAAUUAAAGAGAAAUUUCAAGGGUGAGGGGGAGUGAAUAAAAACCAAGGGUUUGGAAUUUAAAGAUAUGUUAGGGGUUUUUGUUUUAGGGAUAUUUCUUAUCAUUUUAUGUGAAUAUUUAUGAGAAAUAUUGUAUUAAUUUGAUUUAUUGGUUUAUUUUUUUUCAUGAAGAAGCGGAAGGGAAAGGAAAAGAAAAGGAAAAUUAGGGAAGUUUAAGUUUGUGAAAGAUCUUGGAAAGGUUUGUGCUCAACUCUAUUUCAAUAAAUGCAAGAAAUUGUUAUUUAUAUUCUAUUUGAAAUUUUACUACCCUACUUGAAAGACCAAGUAAAUAAUAAUUUAAUUAUAUUAGUAUAAUAAAAGUUUGAGAACCUUGCUUAAUUUUAGGGAUUGUAUAAUCAUAAGCUUGAUUUUCCUUCCUGUUUAGUUACCGUCUCUCAUGUAUAAAUAGGUUGUAAUCUCUAUUGUGAUAUACAACAAAUAUUAUCUUUCUAUAUGGUAUCAGAGUCUUUCUCGUAGAGAUUUUUUUUCUCUUUUCUCUCUCGUAAAGUUUUAAAAUUUUUUUGGAGACUUAGGGUUCCGUUCAUUUGGGUUAUCCAUAAAGGGUAACAUUUGGAUCUCACUAUCGCUGGAGUCGCCACACCGACCCCUUGUCAAAUUUGAGGUUUGUUUGCCGUUCGGGUGUUGGGUGGAGGUGUUUUAUUUGGUACUGUUCAUCGGCACUGUUCAUCGGGUAUUGUUCACGUGGUACUGUUCAUCGGUACUGUUCACGCCGGGUACUGUUUUCUGAUUCUGUGUUUCUUUUGUUGCUAUCGUUUUGGGUUGGUUGUCCUUAUGGCUGAAAUUAAAACCACCACCGUAACUGAUGUGAUUCCUAUGAUGACUAAAAUCACGGAACACAAAUUGAAUGGAUCUUCCGAUCAGAGAAUUUUGAUAUCUGCAGAUGAGUAUGCACAAUUCAUGCCAUAUACAGAUCUUGCAGUACUGCACUACAGUUACACUGAUUUUUAGGAUACAAUGAGGUAUCCUAUAGUUAUAGAAUCGGCUUUUGAGCCCUACAGUUAUUUGGUACUGUGUACCCUACAGUUACAGUUUCAUCAUCUAACUUAACAGUCCCAUUUAAAUUUAUAGGGGCCAACAGAAAAAUAAUAAAUAAAUAAAAGUAUUAAGAGAAAUUAAAACUUUUUACAUGAUGAAGAAAAAGAAAAGGAUUAUGAAAUUAAAAUAUGUAUAUAUAUGUGAAUUAAUAAUAUGAUUUAGAUUAUUUCAAAUUAUUUGUUAUAAAGUUAUUUGUUAUUUGUUUGAAUUAUUGUUAUUACAUGAAUUUUGAUUUAAAUGUUUUAUUUAUAAAGAAAAGUUGAGCACCACUAAGCAUUUUGCUUAGCGCGUAGGAAUUUAUGUUUUCUCGCGCAGGUUGUAGAUCCAAGGAGCAGUAGAGCAAGAUCUGCAUCAACCCGUCAGAGUUACAUCAUUAGCUAUCUUGGGGUAUAUUUUGUAAAUCUGAAUUGAAUUUGAGUUCAGAAAUAUGUCAUGUACAUAAAGAUUUAGAGAUAAAGGUAUAUAUGGUUUGAAUUAGAUGUAUUUAAAUAUUUUAAUGUUGAUGUAAAUAUUGGUUAUUAGUAUACGUUUUUGGGUUGAGAUUAAUGAGAUG